GCCUGGCUGGCUCUGUUGGAGGAGCAUGUGACUCUUGAUCUCAGGGUCGUGAGUUUGAGUCCCACGUUGGGUG
Molecule: transfer RNA, 73 nt
Filed under: Canis lupus familiaris (dog)
Lineage: Eukaryota; Metazoa; Chordata; Mammalia; Carnivora; Canidae
Also listed under: 1 other name
Rfam family: tRNA
About the family: Transfer RNA (tRNA) molecules are approximately 80 nucleotides in length. Their secondary structure includes four short double-helical elements and three loops (D, anti-codon, and T loops). Further hydrogen bonds mediate the characteristic L-shaped molecular structure. tRNAs have two regions of fundamental functional importance: the anti-codon, which is responsible for specific mRNA codon recognition, and the 3' end, to which the tRNAs corresponding amino acid is attached (by aminoacyl-tRNA synthetases). tRNAs cope with the degeneracy of the genetic code in two manners: having more than one tRNA (with a specific anti-codon) for a particular amino acid; and 'wobble' base-pairing, i.e. permitting non-standard base-pairing at the 3rd anti-codon position.
Source: Rfam by way of RNAcentral